RNAcentral lists this ribosomal RNA (253 nucleotides) under uncultured bacterium. RNAcentral describes it as "partial 16S ribosomal RNA". It matches the Rfam family "Bacterial small subunit ribosomal RNA", at positions 524 to 776 of the family's 1533-position model. The record is from RNAcentral.
UACGAAGGGUGCAAACGUUGCUCGGAAUCAUUGGGCGUAAAGCGCACGUAGGCGGCUCCAAAAGUCGGAUGUGAAAUCCCUGGGCUCAACCGAGGAAGUGCAUCCGAAACUGCGGAGCUUGAGUAUGGAAGAGGGUCGCGGAAUUCCCGGUGUAGAGGUGAAAUUCGUAGAUAUCGGGAGGAACACCAGUGGCGAAGGCGGCGACCUGGGCCAAUACUGACGCUGAGGUGCGAAAGCGUGGGGAGCAAACCGG